This 383-nucleotide ribosomal RNA is filed under the name Drosophila iki. RNAcentral describes it as "partial 16S ribosomal RNA". The stretch from base 259 to 383 matches the Rfam family "Bacterial large subunit ribosomal RNA", at positions 2473 to 2597 of the family's 2925-position model. The record is from RNAcentral. Lineage: Eukaryota; Metazoa; Arthropoda; Insecta; Diptera; Drosophilidae.
GAAAUAUUAACUGUUUCAUUUGAAUUUUUUAUAGAAUUUUAUUUUUUAGUCAAAAAGCUAAAAUAAUUUUAAAAGACGAGAAGACCCUAUAAAUCUUUAUAUUUUAUUUAUUUUAAUUAUAAAGAUUAUUUUUGUUAUAAUAAAUAAAAAUAUUUUAUUGGGGUGAUAUUAAAAUUUAAAAAACUUUUAAUUUUAAAAUCCAUUAAUUUAUGAAUAAUUGAUCCAUUAAUAAUGAUUAAAAAUUUAAGUUACUUUAGGGAUAACAGCGUAAUUUUUUUGGAGAGUUCAUAUCGAUAAAAAAGAUUGCGACCUCGAUGUUGGAUUAAGAUAUAAUUUUGGGUGUAGCCGUUCAAAUUUUAAGUCUGUUCGACUUUUAAAUUCUU